Molecule: ribosomal RNA, 433 nt
Filed under: uncultured bacterium
Lineage: Bacteria
Description: partial 16S ribosomal RNA
Rfam family: Bacterial small subunit ribosomal RNA
Source: RNAcentral
AACGAACGCUGGCGGCAGGCCUAACACAUGCAAGUCGAGCGCGCCCUUCGGGGUGAGCGGCGGACGGGUGAGUAACGCGUGGGAACGUGCCCUUCUCUGCGGAAUAGCCUCGGGAAACUGAGAGUAAUACCGCAUACGCCCUUUGGGGGAAAGAUUUAUCGGAGAAGGAUCGGCCCGCGUUGGAUUAGGUAGUUGGUGGGGUAAUGGCCCACCAAGCCGACGAUCCAUAGCUGGUUUGAGAGGAUGAUCAGCCACACUGGGACUGAGACACGGCCCAGACUCCUACGGGAGGCAGCAGUGGGGAAUCUUAGACAAUGGGGGCAAUCCUGAUCGAGCCAUGCCGCGUGAGUGAUGAAGGCCUUAGGGUUGUAAAGCUCUUUCAGCUGGGAAGAUAAUGACGGUACCAGCAGAAGAAGCCCCGGCUAACUCCGUG